GUCGAAGCGGUAACACUUCGGGUGACGAGCGGCGGAUGGCAGAGUAACGCGUAGGAACGUACCCCAAACUGAGGGAUAAGCACCGGAAACGGUGUCUAAUACCGCAUAUUAUCUUCGGAUCAAAGCUUCGGCGGUUUGGGAGCGGCCUGCGUAUGAUUAGCUUGUUGGUGAGGUAAUGGCUCACCAAGGCGACGAUCAUUAGCUGGUCUGAGAGGAUGAUCAGCCUGACUGGGACUGAGACACGGCCCAGACUCCUACGGGAGGCAGCAGUAGGGAAUUUUCCGCAAUGGGCGAAAGCCUGACGGAGCAACGCCGCGUGCAGGAGGAAUGCCUUCGGGUUGUAAACUGCUUUUAACGGGGACGAUUAUGACGGUACCCGUAGAAUAAGGAUUGGCUAAUUCCGUGCCAGCAGCCGCGGUCAUACGGAAGAUCCGAGCGUUAUCCGGAAUUACUGGGCGUAAAGAGUUGCGUAGGUGGCAGGUAAAGCGAACAGUGAAAGGUCCCGGCUCAACCGGGGAUACAUUGUUCGAACUCACCAGCUAGAGCACAGUAGAGGUACCUGGAAUUCCUAGUGUAGGAGUGAAAUCCGUAGAUAUUAGGAGGAACACCGAUGGCGUAGGCAGGGUACUGGGCUGUUGCUGACACUAAGGCACGAAAGCGUGGGGAGCGAACGGGAUUAGAUACCCCGGUAGUCCACGCCGUAAACUAUGCUUGCUAGCUGUUAUCAGUAUCGACCCUGGUAGUAGCGAAGCUAACGCGUUAAGCAAGCCGCCUGUGGAGUACGAGCGCAAGCUUAAAACAUAAAGGAAUUGACGGGGACCCGCACAAGCGGUGGAGCGUGUUGUUUAAUUCGACGGUAAACGAAGAACCUUACCCAGGCUUGACAUCCUGCCAAGCUUUCCGAAAGGAAAGUGUGCCUUC
RNAcentral lists this ribosomal RNA (921 nucleotides) under uncultured bacterium. Its description in RNAcentral is "bacterial SSU rRNA". It matches the Rfam family "Bacterial small subunit ribosomal RNA", at positions 69 to 1021 of the family's 1533-position model. The record is from RNAcentral.